Molecule: transfer RNA, 58 nt
Filed under: Xenopus laevis (African clawed frog)
Lineage: Eukaryota; Metazoa; Chordata; Amphibia; Anura; Pipidae
Rfam family: tRNA
About the family: Transfer RNA (tRNA) molecules are approximately 80 nucleotides in length. Their secondary structure includes four short double-helical elements and three loops (D, anti-codon, and T loops). Further hydrogen bonds mediate the characteristic L-shaped molecular structure. tRNAs have two regions of fundamental functional importance: the anti-codon, which is responsible for specific mRNA codon recognition, and the 3' end, to which the tRNAs corresponding amino acid is attached (by aminoacyl-tRNA synthetases). tRNAs cope with the degeneracy of the genetic code in two manners: having more than one tRNA (with a specific anti-codon) for a particular amino acid; and 'wobble' base-pairing, i.e. permitting non-standard base-pairing at the 3rd anti-codon position.
Source: Rfam by way of RNAcentral
GCUGUGAUGGCCAAGUGGUUAAGGUGUUAGACUUGAAAUCCAAUGGGGUCUCUCUGCA